RNAcentral lists this ribosomal RNA (470 nucleotides) under uncultured bacterium. RNAcentral's name for it is "partial 16S ribosomal RNA". It matches the Rfam family "Bacterial small subunit ribosomal RNA", at positions 28 to 507 of the family's 1533-position model. The record is from RNAcentral.
GGUGAACGCUGGCGGCGUGCCUAAGACAUGCAAGUCGAGCGGGGCAGGUUUAUACCUGUUCAGCGGCGGACGGGUGAGUAACGCGUGGGUGACCUACCCGGAAGAGGCGGACAACCUGGGGAAACCCAGGCUAAUCCGCCAUGUGGUCCUGUCCUGUGGGGCAGGACUAAAGGGUGGAUAGCCCGCUUCCGGAUGGGCCCGCGUCCCAUCAGCUAGUUGGUGGGGUAAAGGCCCACCAAGGCGACGACGGGUAGCCGGUCUGAGAGGAUGGCCGGCCACAGGGGCACGGAGACACGGGCCCCACUCCGACGGGAGGCAGCAGUGAGGAAUCUGCCGCAAUGGACGGAAGUCGGACGGAGCGACGCCGCUGGGAGGAGGAAGCCCUUCGGGGUGUAAACUCCUGAACUGGGGACGAAAGCCCUGUGGAGGGGGAUGACGGUACCCAGGUAAUAGCGCCGGCCAACUCCGUG